GGGUCCAUAGCUCUGUGGCAGAGCAUUUUACUGCAGAUCAAGAUGUCACCGGUUCGAACCCGGUUGGGCCCU
RNAcentral lists this transfer RNA (72 nucleotides) under Nicotiana tabacum (common tobacco). RNAcentral describes it as "tRNA-Cys (GCA) (tRNA-Cys-GCA-8-1)". It matches the Rfam family "tRNA". Rfam says of the family: Transfer RNA (tRNA) molecules are approximately 80 nucleotides in length. Their secondary structure includes four short double-helical elements and three loops (D, anti-codon, and T loops). Further hydrogen bonds mediate the characteristic L-shaped molecular structure. tRNAs have two regions of fundamental functional importance: the anti-codon, which is responsible for specific mRNA codon recognition, and the 3' end, to which the tRNAs corresponding amino acid is attached (by aminoacyl-tRNA synthetases). tRNAs cope with the degeneracy of the genetic code in two manners: having more than one tRNA (with a specific anti-codon) for a particular amino acid; and 'wobble' base-pairing, i.e. permitting non-standard base-pairing at the 3rd anti-codon position. The record is from Rfam by way of RNAcentral. Lineage: Eukaryota; Viridiplantae; Streptophyta; Magnoliopsida; Solanales; Solanaceae.